This 73-nucleotide transfer RNA is filed under the name Nanobdellota archaeon. RNAcentral's name for it is "tRNA-His". It matches the Rfam family "tRNA". From Rfam's summary of the family: Transfer RNA (tRNA) molecules are approximately 80 nucleotides in length. Their secondary structure includes four short double-helical elements and three loops (D, anti-codon, and T loops). Further hydrogen bonds mediate the characteristic L-shaped molecular structure. tRNAs have two regions of fundamental functional importance: the anti-codon, which is responsible for specific mRNA codon recognition, and the 3' end, to which the tRNAs corresponding amino acid is attached (by aminoacyl-tRNA synthetases). tRNAs cope with the degeneracy of the genetic code in two manners: having more than one tRNA (with a specific anti-codon) for a particular amino acid; and 'wobble' base-pairing, i.e. permitting non-standard base-pairing at the 3rd anti-codon position. Lineage: Archaea; Nanobdellati; Nanobdellota. The record is from RNAcentral.
GCUGUGGUGGUGUUAAUGGUUAGCACAGGAGCCUGUGGAGCUCCUAGUCCGAGUUCGAGUCUCGGCCACGGCC